RNAcentral lists this ribosomal RNA (253 nucleotides) under uncultured bacterium. Its description in RNAcentral is "partial 16S ribosomal RNA". It matches the Rfam family "Bacterial small subunit ribosomal RNA", at positions 524 to 776 of the family's 1533-position model. The record is from RNAcentral.
UACAGAGGGGGCAAGCGUUGUUCGGAAUUACUGGGCGUAAAGGGCGCGUAGGCGGCCUUCUAAGUCGAACGUGAAAUCCCUGGGCUCAACCCAGGAACUGCGUCCGAUACUGGAAGGCUUGAAUCCGGGAGAGGGAUGCGGAAUUCCAGGUGUAGCGGUGAAAUGCGUAGAUAUCGGGAGGAACACCUGUGGCGAAGGCGGCCCCCUGGUUGGAUACUGACGCUGAGACGCGAAAGCGUGGGGAGCAAACAGG